AUUAUUAUCCCAUGAUAAGUUAUCCUUGGAAUAAAAUUUGAAUAAGAUACAAUUGCCCUCCAAAUUCUUUUUAGAUUAUAUAUAUACAUAUAUAUAUGUAUGUAUAUAUAUAUAUAUGUAUGUAUAUAUAUAUAUAUAUGUAUGUAUGUGUAACGCCCUAAAAAUCGAGUCCCGAGAAGCCCCACGGUGCUUAGGGUCACAAGUGACCCCAAGCUAACCUUUUCAUAGGUAUAACUCAAAAGCAGCUGAUUUAAAACAUAAUUUUGAGAGAAUGAAGCUGAAAAUAUCUCAAUACAGAAUCUGUUCAAUACAAUAUUGAAAUUACAAGAUGACAAUUCUACUGACACAUAUACAUAUACAAGAAGGAGACUGAAUACAUCAACUACUACUACUGUCUAUGAAGCCUCUACUAGUAUUGCCUGUACAUAAACGGGUCAUGACUCCCAACCAUCCCACUCAAUAUGGCCGACAGAAGAAGGUAUAGUGUCUUUAAACUGAAGCAACCAACACAAGACCUUGAACUAUAAGGACUCCUUUACCUGCUGACCAAAUGCUGCAACUGAAUAGAAUAGUAUAUGAGGGUCAUCACAAAGAGAAUGUACUGAGUAUGUGGGGGUGCAUGCAACACUUUAAAUAACAUCAUCAAUUUCAUGAAAACAUGCAUACAGACAACGAUGACUCACUUGGCUUGAGUUAUAUCAAAUCAUACUCUUCAUACUUUCAUAAUAAAUAGUUCAAAUGGUAAAAUCUCAUAAUCCAUGUAAAUCAUCAAAAAUCAUAAAUUAUGAUAAAUCAUCAUAAAUNNNNNNNNNNNNNNNNNNNNNNNNNNNNNNNNNNNNNNNNNNNNNNNNNNNNNNNNNNNNNNNNNNNNNNNNNNNNNNNNNNNNNNNNNNNNNNNNNNNNNNNNNNNNNNNNNNNNNNNNNNNNNNNNNNNNNNNNNNNNNNNNNGGAGUGACUCGGUAAUUCAAGAAAUAUGACUUUUAUGGACAGGAGAGUUUCCUAUAACCGACAACUCCACGUGAGCUACGUGGAAUACCAACGUUUGAAACCCCCGUUGGCGGGAGCGUCAUAUUCUUUGCCAGGGAGUAUGACCUUAAAACUGUAAUAAUCACAAUCGGGCUCACUGGCCAAUAAUAUCAUCAUCAAACAACCCUAUGGUGGUACAUAGGUUUGGGGAAAUACCAAAUUUCCCUCUCUGUGCUAAGUACUACUCCCCGACAAGCUCAGAACGCGUUAGGAUAUCCACCAUCAUCAUCACAAGGGUCUAUCAUAAAGACCAAAACAAAUAUCUCAAUUUAUAAUUCAUCAACAAUUUGUGGAUUCCUAACCCCAACUUCGACUUAAAACAUUUCAAUCUUUUUUAACAUCAACAAGAUAUCAAUACAUUGAAUCAUAAACGACUCGACAUUUGGACAAGGAUAUGAAGACUUAAUACGUAAUAUUUUCAAUAAUUUAUCAAAAUCAUCCGGAAAAAAAAAACCAAAAUUCAUCUCAACAUCUAUAUCAAAAUCAAUCUUUCUCAUAGUCAAAAUCAUCUCGACUCUGCGAGUUCAAGGUCAAUGUACUCAAAUGAUUAUUCUUUCAAUUCGACAUUUAUAUCAUGACAACAGCUUUUGAAAAGCACUUGAGACCUUCAAUUCAUAAUAAGAAUACAUAUCCCGUAGUACAACUCAAAUCACGACUUUAUCUCGAAAGCCUUUAGAAAUAUCAAUUCAUUGUAGUAGUAUGCAAUUCAUAGCAUAAAUUCUCAAUUUAAGAAGUAGAGUAAUGAAGUAAUCAUGUAUAUCCAUAUUGGAAAAAAAAUUUCAAAGUCCUAUAAAUCCUGCAUAAAGUAAUUUGAGUGUAUACCCAUUUUCGAAUAUCAUGAAAUUUCAAUAAUAGAACUCAACCUUUUUAAAUGUCAAAAUGUAACAAUUUAUCAAGUCAUGACAACAUCAAUAUUUUUCAGAAAAUAUCAAGACUCAUGGUAACAUCUCAAAUGUUAUAUCUCAAUAUGCUCAAUGAUUCAAUGUCGUCAUAAAGAAGCUUUAAGCUUAUCAUAAAUCUCAAAAUCAUUCCAAAAUACCAUUUCAACAUAUAUCUCAAAAUCAUUCAAAAUAAAAAUAUGAAAUUUACAAUUAUAGAUAUCAAGACAUCUCAUGUCUCAAAUAUAUAUUCAAUAAUUCAAAUCGUCAUUGGGAAGCAUAAAGCUUGACACAUAUCUCAAAAUAUUAUUCCAAAAUACCAUCUCGACAUACGUCCCAAAAUCAUUCAAAAUACCACCUCGUGGUAAAAGUGUGUAAUUCGCAAUGAUAAUUAUUAAAUCAUAUCAUGAAAAUAUUGAGAUAAUCAUAUAAAUCAAAGUUUAUUCAUUCAACAAUCAUAAUCUCAUAAUCGAAUUAUCUAGACAUAAUCUCACUUGCAAAAUCAUGUGAAACCAUAACAAAAUUAAAGCUUUGGGCACAAGAACGGAAGAUUGCUCUUGUUCAAAACCCCACAUACCUUGAAAUUGACUUCUUGAUUACAGAAUUUUGUUCGGACAAAUAAUGGGUGCUCCUCGAAGGUCUUGAAGUGAGGAGUUCGUUUAUCGGAUCAAUUUUGGAUUUCUACGGUGAAAUUGAAAGGUAUUUGAAGGUGAAAUUUGGCUAGGGUUUCAUUAUCCCAAAUGUUUCAUGAAAAAAAAUGAAUUUUGAAGGUUCAAUUACGGAUUAAAUGGACAAAUUUUCGUCCAAGAGGGAGGGGGUGUGAAAUGACCAAAUUGCCCUUAAAAGAACAAAUAAUGUCAAAUCUGUCCUUUGGUGGACUGUUUUGUUAGGCUGAAGUAGAUCGACCAUAACGUUUUACUCCGACAUCCAAAUUGGAUGAAACCAAUUUCAUUAGAAAGAGGACUCUUAGAGAUUUCCGUUGAUAUAUAGUAGCUCACCCAUAUCAUUAUGUACAAGGAGUUAUGGUCGUUUGAAGUUGACCCUGAAAUUCGCCUGGCUGCAGUAAUUUUUAAUUUCCUGCACGUUUUACUGUUCACAGUUCGAUCGGAAUGGUCGUACGGAAUGGUCGUAACUCAUCGCUCGAGUGUCCAUUUUUGAUGAUCUAUAUAUCGUUGGAAAGCUUAUUCGAUACUCUACGCAAUGGUAGAUCAACGUCUUAGAAAUACUACACAGAAAAUUUAUGGAUCGCUCUAAAACGUAGAACUCGAUACGUUUCUCACGAAAUCUUUACGAAGAAAUUUUUUUGGGGUAUUACAUUAUCUCCCCCUUGGAAACAUUCGUCCUCGAAUGUAGCUUGAUACGAUAAAAGCACUGAUCAACUGACCUUCUUAAGGGACGCGAACAUCUAAGACAUAUCAGCACGAUUGGAAUUAUAGUUUUCUAGUCCUCAUACUGAACAUGCAUAUCUGACGCAUAAAUAUCUAGCUGAACUGACUCUGGAAUAUAUGAAUGCGUAUGCAACAAUAGACAAUUCAAGGCACAUAAUGAGAACUUGAGCAUGAACUAGAUGUGUUUAAAAUACGAAAGCUUUAAGAAGUCACGGGGUAUCUCCCCCUUGGGACUCCAUGUUCCUCUACAACACUUAUUUCACAGGGUUACUAAGACUGUGCACGGGGCACCUAUGAAUUAGCUCAUAGGCAUGACGCAUGAACAGAGGUAUACUCGUAACUACUGAGAUGCUCCAUAUGGAAAUGAUUUCAUUCCUAAGAUCCUUGGAUAACAUGAUGAAAUGAUAAAUGAGAAGGUACACUAUACGAUUCUGAUUGACCGAGCUGGAAUACUUGAAAAACAAAGAUCGUUUAGUAGAAGUUUACAAAUUGAGGCAUAACUAGCUUCCAGAAUCUGAAACAUGUACACCACAAUCCCUUAAGAUAACCACAUAAAACUUCAACUAACCACAAUAUACAUGAACGCUUAAUCUCAAUCUUACUUCACAUUACCACUUAGCUCAAAAUAAGCAUACACCAUCUAGAGCUUCAAUGCUUUCAGCUCAACUUCGGAAUUUCAAUCUUAGAGUCUAACGCUUAACUCCAAUUUUUCUCAUCAUUCACGAACCACACUACCUCUGUCAUCGCUUAUUAAAAUCACGCUUGUAAACUUAUAUUUCUAAACCAUAAGAAUCAAAAUCACAUCUAAGAAGCUCAACCAUUACAGUCAUACACUAAUCCUCGAAAUUAAAGCAGUCCCAUAAUAUCUUGGGUGAACUUUCUCAUCAUAAACACAACAUCAAACUUAAUCACNNNNNNNNNNNNNNNNNNNNNNNNNNNNNNNNNNNNNNNNNNNNNNNNNNNNNNNNNNNNNNNNNNNNNNNNNNNNNNNCAGUCACCUUCACGAUCACCAAUCAUUCAAACUUAACUUUUAGCACACAAUAUAACUUAAAACUUUUCGCACGAAAUUUCCACUUAGAAACUAUAAAACAAUCCUCAACAAAUGCUAGCCUAUUUAAACUUCAUAACAAUAAUAAUUGGUCAUAAUCAUAUAGCUUAUCUUAUUCACAAUCCAUUAACACAUCCUUCUUUCACCCGUCACUACUAUCUAUCCUCCAUACACAACUUAACUUAGUUCAUAGCUCUAUACGCCUUAACUUAACUUCCUCUUACAACCCGGCAACGGCAUAAUUUAACAACACUCACCCAUCGAGUACUUCUAUUACUAACUUAUACUCUCUGGCAUACAAAUACCGUCAACACCCAUUUCAUACCUUGAACAAACUACAUCACAAAAUUGACACACAAGGAUAUAUCACUCCCUAUUAACCCCAAAUGUAUACAAAAAUAGAUUCCGCUAUACUUAUGCUCAACAAAUCAUACUUACCAUCUUUUUUACUACUACACCUCCAAAUCCCAUAUUUUCAGCCAGCACAAGGAACAAGAUGAACUACAAGUUGCUAGUGGAUCGAAAUAAGCCGCACGCGGCUCCACUAGGCUUUGAAUAUGAGUUUUGAAAAAAAGUUUGAGGUGAAUAACAAAACAGCUGUGCUAGUGAAUCGAAAGAGCCUCACACGAUUUCACUAGACUUUUAUUUUCAACAGCAUGAUGAUAGCAAGAUUACGGGAGAUAGAAACUUGGCAUACCAUAUUGGAUGAUCAAGGAGUACGCAUCUACUCAGUCUUAGCUGAACAAGUCAUAAAGAAGAGGACAUAACAUGAAACUUCAGGAACCUAUAACACACUGAGAGGCUCUUCUGAAGCCACUUUUAUGAGACUUCUGAAACAUUUUGCUAAUCAGUCUGAAAAUAUUAUCAGGAAAAGAACCAAGACUUGUUGCUCAUACUAUCUCAAGAAUAGCACAUAGAAAAGUACAAACUGUCACUUAUAGAUCUUGAAAAGAAAUUUGGUAGCUUAUCUGGUUUAAACUUAUUGCACGAUUCAAGACUUGAAAGAACAGCAACCUUUCCUAAAUGCCUUAUAGCCUCUUGAAGAAAAGUACAGACGUCUCCAUACCAUUCCGCAAGACUCUACUAGACACGGCUUCAUAGACACCCUAGGACACUUGAACUCUAUGCUCUGAUACUAAGUUUGUAACGCCCCAAAAAUCGAGUCCCGAGAUGCCCCACGGUGCUUAGGCUCACAAGUAACCCCAAGCUAACCCUUUCAUAGGUAUAACUCAAAAGCAACUAAUUUAAAACAUAAUUCUGAGAGAGAGCAGCUGAAAAUAUCUACAUCAACCACUACUACUGUCUAUGAAGCCUCUACUAGUAUUGCUUGUAUAUAAACGGGUCAUGAAUCUCAACCAUCCUACUCAAUAUGACCGAUAGAAAAAGGUAUAGUGUCUCUGAACUGAAACAACCAACACAAGACCUUGAACUAUAAGGACUCCUUUACCUGCUGACCAGAUGCUGCAACUGAAUAGAAUAGUAGAUGGGGGUCAACACAAAGAGAAUGUACUAAGUAUGUGGGGGGUUCAUGCAACACUUUAAAUAACAUCAUCAACUUCAUGAAAACAUCCAUACAAACAAUGAUGACUUACUUGGCUUGAGUUAUAUUAAAUCAUACUCUUCAUACUUUCAUAAUAAAUAGUUCAAAUGGUAAAAUCUCAUAAUCCAUGUAAAUCAUCAAAAAUCAUAAAUUAUGAUAAAUCAUCAUAAAUUAUCAUAUCGUCAAAAUUCAUCAUAGGUAAUCAUAAUUCAUCAUAAUAUCUCAACUCUUUGACUCAAAUCUCAGAGUGACUCGGUAAUUUAAGAAACAUGACUUUUAUGGACAGGGGAGUUUCCUAUAACCGACAACCCCACGUAAGCUACGUGGAAUACCAAUGUUUGAAACCCCCAUUGGCGGGAGCGUCAUACUCUUUGCCAGGGAGUACGACCUUAAAACUGCAAUAAUCACAAUCGAGCUCAUUGGCCAAUAACAUCAUCAUCAAACAACCAUACGGUGGUACAUAGGUUUGGGGAAAUACCAAAUUUCCCUCUCGGUGCUAAGUACUACUCCCCGACAAGCUCAUAACGCGUUAGGAGAUCCACCAUCUUCAUCACAAGGGUCUAUCAUAAAGACCAAAAUAAAUAUCUCAAUUUAUAAUUCAUCAACAAUUUGUGGAUUCCUAACCCCAACUUCGACUUAAAACAUUUCAAUCUUUUUUAACAUCAACAAGGUAUCAAUGCAUUGAACCAUAACCAACUCGACAUUUGGACAAGGAUAUGAAGACUCAAUACGUAAUAUUUUCAAUAAUUCAACUCAUUAAAAUCAUUCGAAAAAAAAUACCAAAAUUCAUCUCAACAUCUAUAUCAAAAUCAAUAUUUCUCAUAGUCAAAAUCAUUUCGACUCUGCGAUUUCAAGGUCAAUGUACUCAAAUGAUUAUUCUUUCAAUUCGACAAUUAAAUCAUGACAACAGCUUUUGAAAAACACUUGAGACCUUUAAUUCAUAAUAAGAAUACAUAUCCCGUAGUACAACUCAAAUCACGACUUUUAUCUUGAAAUCGUUUAGAAAUAUCAAUUCAUUAUAGUAGUAUGCAAUUCAUAGCUGAUGUUCCUUCGCCCUGCGUAUUAGAGUCUAGAGCCUCUAUCUGUUCCCCUAUCUCCAUAUUAAUACUAAGACCCAUAUCACCUUGAUGUGCCUCAUCAGGCCCUAUGGAAAUUGAUGGGCCAUCAGUCUGGGCCUGUGAUACUGUUGCCUGCUAUUUCAAUCUCCUAUAAGAGCCUAGACAUGCCAAAUUCCUCAUAGUCCUAGUCUGUGCAGUCGCUGUCACAAUUACCCUCUCGUCUACACCAGGUAUUUUAGGCACAUCGGCCUCAUCUCACAACCUCUGAAUCAUGUGAGGCAAUGGCAGAUUAUUCAACCCUCAAACGCUCUAUCAUGUAAGUCAUACCUGAGGAUGGUAAAAAAAUCAAUAGCAUAACCGGCCAUCAUCCAAGCAACCCGUGCGGCUCCCUCUUAUGUCAACAUAUUAUCCGACGUAGUUGGUAUCAGUCGGUAUCUAAUCUACAAGUACCAAACCUUGGCCUCAAAUAUCAAUAGGCCCUUCUUUAUCACAACAUAACUUUCAAUGCAUGGGGUCGCAUCACCCAAAUGUGAGAUAUAACUAGCUAUCCACCUAGAUAACUCAAUCCUCUCCCAUUAGUGCUCAGCCUCCUACAUGAUAUAUCAAUUAUGUGCGACCCUCAGUCUAUUGUUGCACUCAGUUGUAGAUUCAGGAGUAAUAUAAUCUAGGUUGAAGAUAGCUCUGAGGAUAGUCUCUAUCUAAAUGUCAACUCUGACCCCUCUAAACAACGUAUGCUCAAGUUGUCGCUUCCUAGUAAAUCUCACCAGGCCUAGAUGUCUAUGUAUUUGAAGCACUAUAGUAACUCUAUGGGAUGCAUAGAUUUUUUGUACCAUCGAUAGGCUGUAAGAACCGAAUGGCCUAGUUAUCCACUCUAGCUGAUAUCUAUCAAAUGCUUUCAGAACUGUGGUACUCGAUAUAGCUUCGAUAGGUCAAUCUGGAACUCCUUAUAAAUGCAACUCGUAGGCCUUCUUGCCUCCCAGAUAUGAUUGUCAAUAGUAUAAAUUUCUUGCAUCUCUUCUACACACCACCUCUGAUGUCCCUCCUCGAGAGGUGCAUCUGAGGAAUGUGUGGGAGUAGGUCUCUGCCCUUGCUGUACUGAUUCAUCAUGGGUAGCCUGCUCUAUACCCUCUCCACUCCAGACUGGGGAGACUGGGGUACAUCUGUCUGUUGUACAUGUGUAGUGCUACCCUUCUUAGAUUGGGGAACCACUAUUGGCUCCUUCUGCUCUACCUCAUUGGAUGAAUCUUGGGACCCCUCCUCAGAUUGGGGGACCUGAGCAGCAACCUAUAAAGUAGACUCAGACUCUGUCUCUUCUCCCUUCUCCUCAUUAUCAGGUGGAGGAGUGUGUGGCGGUGAUAUUCUGGCUGACAUCAUUCUCGAUCGGGCUACAACUGAUUGAGUAGCCUAGCGAGUUGUCCUCUCAUGACUCUACUUGUUACCUCAAAUACAACAUGACUAUAUUUCUAUGUCGGGUACUCCUCUACUAAACCACUAGGCUCGAGAGACUCUGCCCUAUCUCCUUAAAGUACCAACCAUCAUUUUCUUCAUAAACUUAGGUGCCAUAUGUACCUGAAAGACCAAUUUUUAGUUUCCAACAAAAGUAAGGGAUAGCAAAAAUCAAAGAAAAACUCAAAAUUCAAAAAACCUAAGUUUCUCCUCAAUUUCCACACCCCUAUAACCUAUUUGAAAUCCCAAAAAGUCCAAUGUGCACACAUCUAUCAAAAAUCACAGCUUUAAAGUAGACAAACAUGCUAAACUAGUGGUAUUACUUUUAUUUAUUCAAGUUCAACUUUUGGUUGAGGCCUAACUUUAGAUUUUACUUCAAAACAAGGCCCUACACUAUGAUUUUAGGAUACUUCAAGGCUCCUACAUACAAGCAUGAUACAUUCUAUAUAUUUUGCAAUGGAAUACACAUAUCAACUUGUUUAAACAAUAGAUAGAUCAAUAUAUAACCAUUAGAAGCCGAGAAAGUUACCUCUUUUAUGAAGAACCGUAAGUGAAUAAUGAAAAAGUCAAGCAAACCAAAGUUAAAACUUGUUUUUAUCAUGUUCAAACAAGUUGGUAUCUCAAAUAAGUGUCAAUUUAGCCUUUACUUCAGUGUGGGGUUAGUUUAUAUUUUAAGAGGAAAGUUUGAAUUCAAAGAGAAAAGUGAAGUUUUAAGGAUUUGAAUGAAUUACUAUGAGCUUAAGGUUGUUUAAAUAUAGGUGGGGGGAUGCUUUAGGUCAUAUAUAAGUGUUGGUAGCCUAAAAGUUUAAAUUAAAAAUUGGUCCCACAAACAACCUACUCGCAGCAGCUACUUGCGGUCCUGCACCUGCGGGUCAGGCUGUAGGCGCAGGUGCUACCUGUGGCCAAUAUGUGUUGGGCCAAAAAUUUAGUUCUACUUUACUGCAAUCUAGACUUGGUAAUUUGAUAUUUUUCUAGCUACUUAUGGUCCCUUAACCUAAGUUUGAGGUCCUAAACGCAAAAUUAGAUGCCAAAGUUCACAAUUUUACACAUUUUUCUAUCCUUAAAAUUUCAACUUUUUGGCUUAUUACUCAACUUAUCGGGUGGUACUUAUGACCAUGAUGGAUUGAUAACAUAGCCCCCUUACCUGCAAAUCGAUGAAUUUAGAAAUCUUUUACUAUAUUUCAGGUAAGUCCAAGGUCUAUAAACCUAGAAAAAAGAAAACAAGAAAAAAAAUGAAUAAUAAUGAUAGGGGAUUGCCUCCCACUCAAUGUUUGAUUUAACAUCGUGACAGGAUGUGACUAUAUUAGUUACUCAUACUUUACCAACAAGACCAUGGGUUGCCUCCCACGCAAUGCUUGAUUUAACGUCAUGAUACGACGCGAGUAUCUUGACUACUCAGAAUUCAUCAAGAUAACCAUAGGAAUAUCCUAAAGGGUCAUCAAUACAAUCAAUCACCAACACUACCCUCAUGUCGUUUGGAUGCUUUAUUGAAUUUCGGAUAUUUAAUAUAGCCUCCUCACUAUUGACUCAGAAUUUCUGCUCACCUUUCUCCAUAUUAACCAUAGCUCUAUCUAUGGCCAUCAACGGUCUUCCCAAUAUAAUGUGCAUCUCAGUGUUAACCUCACAGUCUAGGAUGACAAAGUCAACCAAAAAUAUAAAGUUAUCCACCCUCACAGUUACAUCAAAAGAGAUUCCAUAGGUUUUUUCAUUGUGUGGUCAGCCAUCAAUGGCCACAUCGAAGUUGGUUCUGGAGGGUUCAAGCACAAUUGCUUGAAUAUGGUUGUUGGCAUCAAAUUAAUGCUGGCUCCUAAAUCACACAAGGCUUUGGCAAAUUGGGAUGACCCAAUAGUGCAUGGUAUAAUGAAUGCACUGGGAUCACCCUUUUUCUGUGCCAAAUACCUAGUCCUGACUGCACUACAGAGGUGUAUACCAUAAACAUCCUCAAAUAUCUCUCCUUUUUCCUUGUGACCAAUUGUUUCAUGAACCUGGCAUAUCUAGGCAUUUGCUCUAAUGCUACUAGAAGAGAUAUGUUCAAGCUCAAUUCUUUCAGCAUAUUGAUGAAUUUCUUAAACUUACCUUCCUCUUCUUUUAUUUCAAUAUCUAAGGAAAAGGUAAGGGUGGUCUUGGAAUCUGUCUAAUUUUGGGCUCAAUGAUCGGACCCUUGCCUUUGUCUUCAGUAGUUUUGCCUUUAUCACCUGUUACCUUCUCAGACUUAACAACAGGUGUCUCGUCAUCAGUAGCUUCUGCAGUAGGUCGUAGGGGAUCCAUAGUAGUUUUACCACUACUCGGGUAAUAACAAGUAUAUGACUAUCGUUUUUUAGAUUUUGCAUUGUGUUGCUCGAAAGGGUACCUAGCUGCCUUUGGUUCAGAGUUGCUGACAUUUGCUUAAACUGGUGCUCCAACUGCUUGAUAGCAGUUGUAUGUGACUCGACCUUUUGGGUCAAUCCAGAAAUGUCGGGCUUAAUCUCCUUAAGGAUGAUCUCUUGAUUUUACUAACCCUUCACCAUCUUAGCCAUUUUGGAUUCCGCAUCUCGUCUGACAAGUGGAAUGUACCUAUAUCCCUUUUUUAUAUAGUCAUCUUUCUUUCUCCAGUCACCAUCUCACUCUCUGCUAUGUUAUCUGUAUCUGUCAUAAUAGUUCUGACCUUGGUUCCCUUGCCCUUGUGCUUGGACAGAUAAUUCACUAACUUCUCUAAUUAUAACUCGUAAGCUUUGGAAGAUGACCCUUGUGCUUCUAUUGCAUUACUUUUUAAGAAGUCGCUACUGCAAGUACCCUAAGAUUAGUUCUUAGCAAUGCAAUCUCUUGCAUUACUGUGUCAUCAACUACUUCCUAGUCGCAGUAGGCACCAAUAGUGUAAGUUCCAGAUCCCCUCUCAGCUUCCCGAGUUUGCCACCCUCGAUUAGUGAGCGAGAUCUGAACUAUCAUCUUUGAACCUGCCUCCCAGUAUAGUCUCAUAAAAACUCUUUCAGAUAUGGUGUUUGCCAGGGCUCUGGAGUUGAUGGUCAAGGCUCGGUAGAACAUCUCUAAUAACUGAUGAUUGGGCAUAAUAUUCAGUUUCUUCUUGGACCUGAACCGUGCAUCGUACAUAGAUUCUAACUACAGCUUCCUGAAAUUAUAAACUCAUCCUUAAGCUUCAACAUCCUGGAUGGAGGAAAGAACCUAUUCAAGAAUUGCUUGCACAACUUCAUUCCAUGUAGUGAUAGAGCCUCUUGGCAGUUCCCCUAACCAUAAAGAUGUUUCUCCUGUAAGUGAGAAUAAGAACAACCUCAGUCUGAGUGCUUCCUGAUUCACCCUUGGAUUUGCAAACGAGCUGUACAUCCCAAGAAAAUUGGCAAGGUGCAAGUUUGUAUUAUCUGUUGACAGACCUGCAACCACUUCCUUCAAAUUUAAAAGUUGAAUUAUUGCGCUCGUGAUAUCGAACUUGAUGCCUGGGGAAAAAUAGGAGGAACUAUGAAUCUAGUCUCUACCGGCUCACCAUAUCCCAAGUCUUCUUCAUCAUCUAUUUAUGGCUGCACAUACUGAUAUGUUGGGAUUACUUGAACACGGGCACCUCUAUCUCUAUUCUGUUUUCCACCAAGUGUAGUUCGAUGGUCUGCUGCUUGUCUCUGCUCAGCUAGCUCUGUAUCCUCAGCUGACCACUGAGCUUCUUCUGUUGUCUUCCUCUUGUAUUUAGCUUGAUCUAAUAGCUCACCAGUCUGUCGAAAAACAAUAUCUUAUACUCUUUUAGGAGGAGGGGGAGGUACAACAUCACAAACCCUUUCGGAGGUUCAUCUCUUUUUUGCUCAGACAUCCUACCAGGAGUUUAUAGGAUCCUCUCUGUAUUCAAAUUCAGUGGGAGUAAGGAAUUGCCUCUACUUUGUGUGCUAGGCAUACACCGAUAUAUGCCCUAAUAAUAAAAGCAAAAAAAAAAGAAAAACCAAAAAAUUGCAACAACUUCAAAUCACAAAUCAAUACCGUGUUCCCCGACAACGGCGCCAAAAUUUUGAAGAUGUCCAAACAACACCUCCUAUUAGAUGAUGAUACGAUUGUUGUCAAAAUAUAGUAACCCAAUAUAGGUUGGGGUCGAAUCUCAAGGGAACAAGUGGAAUUGUGGAUCUUAUAAGUUAUAGUCUGCAGGCAGAACAAGAGAUGUAAGUAGGGGCUUUUUGUGUAGUAAUCUCGAGCAAGUAACUAUACUAACAUCGAUUGUAAUCAGUCAUAGGUUGACACUAGGAUUGUGUUAUCCCUGGUUUCUCAACUCUGUAGGCUUAUUGUGCUUUGUUUAACCAACCCGAUACUUUGCAUGCAUAAUCGAUAAUUUAUGUACCUUCUACAGUCUUUUGGAUGAGCAGAAGUGUGGAUCGAUAGUUAAACUCCAAAUUACUAUUGUCUUUAUCUUUUUCUAGUCACUACUCCUCUUUUGAAGUAAGUAGCAAUAUCUAGGCGGGAUUUUAAUGUGUACACCCAUUAAGAAAACUAUUAUAACAAAGAUAAAGCAAUGCAUCCAUAGGUAUUAGUUCAGAACAACAAAAGCACUUCCCUACUUCGUCAAUCCACCAGGCUUUCCACAACCCUAGCUAUGGGUUUUGGCUCCUCAUGCUUGUGAAGAAAUCAAUAGCAUUCAUAAUCGAAAGCAUAGAUGAAAUCACAAUAAAACACACAACCAUAAUUGAAUCAAUGAACCAAAGUCAAUACAAGAGAAUCCCAAGAUCAAAAUCAGAUCUUGGAAUCAAAAUAUGUUUACGAAUAUCAAAAGUGUGUAACUCCUGCUAAAAAUCACAUAAAAGUGUAUUUAUAGUACAAGAGAAAACCAUAAAACCAAAUCCCGAAUGAAAUAGGAGAAAAUAAGGUUGGUGACCAUAUGUGGUUUGUACCAGCACUCUGAUACUAGGUGCAGGUAGCACUUGUGGUCCUGACCUUGGGCAGGUACAGGGUGCAGAUGAAAAAUUCUUGCAAGUUCAGCUCUCGAGAUUUUGGACUUCUGGCACUUGCUUUGCCUACCUACAUUCGUAGGUCCUACAUGCGGUGCACAAGUUGACUUAGUAGGUGCCGAGAGUCAACUUUUCACUCUUCUUCAAUUCUCAAACAUACUUUGACCACGAGCAUGCCGAAAAGUUUUUCGAACAUCCAUAAUGGCUCCAAAAUAACCAAAAACACCCUUUCUUCACCUUUUUCAUGAACUUAUUAUCCAAAACAUGAUUUUCUACAAAAUAUACCCAAAAUUAUCAUAUCUAAGAAAAUAACCUCAGAAACCUACAUAUUUCCCUUUUUAAUCAUCGAGAGUACUAUACUUCUAUAGCACAUCCUUCAACCCACCUUAUAAAACUGGCUUUGCGACGUUGCUAUAUGUAUAACUUAACAAAUUCUGAAACUAUUGUAUAGCAUAAAAGGUUAAUAGAAUGUGUUCUAAUCUUAAAUUGAAAUUUGGGGGUCGUAGAUUCCCCCAGAUGGAUGUAUAAUUGGAACUUGGGGGUCAUGGAUUCUCCUGAGUUAAUGGACAACUGAAAUGACAUAAUUCAAUAAGCUUGCAAGCAUAAUUGAUAAUGCCUAGUGGUAAAAAAUGACACCUUAGUUUAAUGGAUAGGAAUGUGUAAAUGGUUUUAAUUGGGCUUAAUGGGGUUGUGUAGCUCACGCUGAAGGUCUAAGUCUCAGGGAAGACGAAUACCGAAAAUUACAUUUACUGACGUGGGGGUCUUUAUGGUCGUGUGCAUAGUUCAUACUUGAUAUGUUUAUAUCUUAGAUUGGUAUGGGGUCAUGGAUUCCCUGACCUUCUUUGGAUUUCCUGGUUCUUGCGGCUACACGCAUUGGGGCCCUUCCGAUGGGAGGAGUCGGACCUGUUAGCCUAUGGGUGCCUUUAGGUUGGUUGGAGAUACACACUCCAUGAUAAUGUGUUAAAUCUCAUGCUAAGUCCUAUUCCCUAUCUCAACAUUUUAUAUAUCUGUAUAUAUGCAUGUAUGUGAACAUAUACAUUGAGUAUGGACUUGAUUUUUAAAUGACAUUACUUUAUCCCUAUCCCGAGUUACAUGCUAGCGAUCACCUCGCUAACCAUCCUAGGACUCUACAUUGUUUUAUAAUGUAGGGUCCGAGGAUACCAGUUUUGCCCAUGUGCAACGUUAGGUGACUGGGUUAGUCAGUUGGUUCGCGGUGAAUUGGUGAACUUACAUCCUCUGAAAAACUUAGCCAUUCCAUCGAUUUAUUUCCAUAUUAUAGAAUUAAAGAUUUAACAUUAACAUUAUCAAUGUAAUUGUCACUAUCAUGGUCGGGGGAAUGUCUCGAUCUAGUUUGAUAUUCGGAUUGUUUUAGAGGCUUUUGUGAAAACCUAUGGAAUGGGAUAUUUGUUUGGAAUCUUAGAAUCUUUGUCUUGGUGUAUUUAUCCUUUAUAUAUUUGUUUGGAUUGCUUUCACUAUUAUACUGUAUUGUGUUCAGAUUGGCUAGGCUCAGUGGGUGGCUUUUUGUCCUCGGUGGACUUGAGAUACCCGUCACGACUAGGCCCUGAUUUGGGUCGUGACAGUAAGGGUUGUUAAAACUCAAAUGAUUUUUCAUAGAGUUCAAAUGCUUUACAGACAUCACAAAUUAUUUUUAAUUGCCUUGAUAGAUCCUUUCGAAGACAUAAGGAAAAUUCAAGAUACAAAAGAAGGUUGGGGAUGCAGUAUGUGAAUUAUAAUCAAAAUGGUCAGAUAUAGUUUUUUGUGCAAGAGCAUAUUCAAGUGGGAGUGAUUAUCGAUUUUGAGCAACAACUUUCAUUACACCUCACAGUGGAAUAUGAUAAGUAGACGAUGACUACAGUGGUGUAUGCCAAAUAUUAUACUUUAGAGAGUUUAGUCUGUGCGAUGAUUUGUAUGCCAUUGGGUACAAUCUUUCCUUUCCUUGGUUGUAGGGGCAGAGUUGAAUGUCAUUUUAUAUGAUGAAGAAAAAUUGGUGGGCUACCUGUAUAUCCUUACUCAUUUGAGGACUUCAGCUUCUGUAUAAAUUAUUGUGAGUUAUUUGAGAUUAGCGUCACCGGGAACCCUUUUACCUGGUUGAAUGGUAGAGCUGAUGAAGAAUAUAUUUUCAAAACGCUAGACAGAAUCAUGAAUUAGGCAGUAUAGGACAUAUUUGGGAAUAUAAAAUGUAAUAUUUGACUAUAACUGAGUCUGAUCAUGCCCCUUUAAUGCUCAAGGAAAAAUCCAGUAAUUCUCAAAACCUCUUAGGUUUUUAAAGUUCUGAAUAGAAAAAGAUGAUUUUAAAACGUGGUUAGGCAUAUUCGGAGGGCAGAUAAAUAUGGGGAUUGCUUCAAAAGAUUGAAAUACAAGCAGAAGAGAGCUAAAUAUGCACUGUCUAAGUGGAGUAGAGACAUGUUUGGGGAUCUAUUUAAACAACUAAGCAUCAGGGAAGAGAUUGUGAAGUUAAAGGAGGGCCUAUUUGAUGAACAACCAAAUACAACGAAUAUGGCUAUUUUAUAACAUAUACAAGUUGAACUAAAGUAGUAUCUCCACUGCAAGGAGGAAUUUUUCAUACAAAUGACUAGUAUCCAGUGGUUCACUAAAAGGGGAUAAAAAUAUAAAUUUUUUCCAUUGUCUGGUGAAAGAAGAAGAAAGAAAUUACAAUUGAAGAGAAGUUUAAAGCAUGAUGGUACUUGGGCUGAAGGAGAUGAGCAGAUUGCAAAUGAAGCAAUGAACUUUUUCCAAAACCGAUUCUCAGGAGAGCUCUUUACUGACGAAUAUUGUUAUAACAUAUCCCAUCAUUAAUUAUCAAAAAAGAUAAUAUUAUGCUCAUGUAACGCCCCAAAAAUGGGUCCCGAGCUCAAGACUACGAGUAGCCUUAAGCUAGCCUUGUUUGCUUUCUACUAAGUUUGAAUCUCAUAAUAAGGUAAUAUAGAUAUCAAAAUCAUACUAAAAGCGGAAAUUAUCUGAAUGUAAUAUCCGAAAAUAAUGUCUGGAACCUUAAUACUGAAUAAUCUGAAUUAAAACUAGCAGUCUGACAAUCCUCUACUACUCCUAAAUAGAGAGCCACUGGGAUACACCCCCAGUUGACUCGAACUGUCUAAAAAGAAUACUGAAUCAUCUAAGCUGAAAAUCUGAAUAACUAAGUCCCUGAACUAUGAUGACUCACCAACUGUCGGGCUGUAGAUGGAGAUGCUCGAAAUUACUCAUGUUGUUGGAACUGAGCACCUGCACCUACAUUAUGAGAUAAUGUAACACAUAGACGUAUAUGUGGAUCAGUACUUUUAGGAUGUACUGAGUAUAUGACUGCAAGCAUAAUUGAUAAUGCCUAGUGGUAAAAAAAUGACACCUUAGUUUAAUGGAUGGGAAUGUGUAAAUGAUUUUAAUUGAGCUUAAUGGGGUUGUGUAGCUCACGCUGAAGGUCUAAGUCUCAGGGAAGACGAAUACCGAAAAUUACAUUUACUGACGUGGGGGUCUUUAUGGUCGUGUGCAUAGUUCACACUUGAUAUGUUUAUAUCUUAGAUUGGUAUGGGGUCAUGGAUUCCCUGACCUUCUUUGGAUUUCCUGGUUCUUGCGGCUACACGCAUUAGUGCCCUUCCGAUGGGAGGAGCCGGACCUGUUAUCCUGUGGGUGUCUUUAGUUUGGUUGGAGAUACACACUCCACGAUAAUGUGUUAAAUCUCAUGCUAAGCCCUAUUCCCUAUCCCAACAUUUUAUAUAUCUGUAUAUAUGCAUGUAUGUGAACAUGUACAUUGAGUAUGGACUUGAUUUUUAAAUAACAUUACUUUAUUCCUAUCCCGAGUUACAUGCUAGAGAUCUCCUCGCUAACCAUCCUAAGAUGCUAUAUUGUUUUAUAAUGUAUGGUCCGAGGAUACCUCUUUUGCCCAUGUGCAGCGUUAGGUGACCGGGUUCGUCAGUUGGUUCGCGGUGAAGUGGUGAAUUUCCAUCCUCCGAAAAACUUAGCCAUUCCAUCGAUUUAUUUCCAUAUUAUAGAAUUAAAGAGUUCACAUUAACAUUAUCAUUAUAAUUGUCACUAUCAUGGUCAGGGGCAUGUCCCGAUCUAGUUUGAUAUUCGGAUUGUUUUAGAGACUUUUGUGAAAAACUAUGGAUUGGGAUAUUUGUUUGGAAUCGUAGAAUCUUUGUCUUGGUGUAUUUAUCUUUUAUAUGUUUGUUUGGAUUGCUUUCACUAUUAUACUAUAUUGUGUUCAGAUUGGCUAGGCUCAGUGGGUGGCUUUCUGUCCUCGGUGGACUUGAGAUACCCGUCACGACUAGGCCCUGAUUUGGGUCGUGACAGUAAGGGUUGUUAAAACUCAAUUGAUUUUUCAUAGAGUUCAAAUGCUUUACAGACAUCACAAAUUAUUUUUAAUUGCCUUGAUAGAUCCUUUCGAAGACAUAAGGAAAAUUCAAGAUACAAAAGAAGGUUGGGGAUGCAGUAUGUGAAUUAUAAUCAAAAUGGUCAGAUAUAGUUUUUUGUGCAAGAGCAUAUUCAAGUGGGAGUGAUUAUCGAUUUUGAGCAACAACUUUCAUUACACCUCACAGUGGAAUAUGAUAAGUAGACGAUGACUACAGUGGUAUAUUAUACGUUAGAGAGUUUAGUCUGUGCGAUGAUUUGUAUGCCAUUGGGUACAAUCUUUCCUUUCCUUGGUUAUAGGGGCAGAGUUGAAUGUCAUUUUAUAUGAUGAAGAAAAAUUGGUGGGCUACCUGUAUAUCCUUUCACAUUUGAGGACUUCAGCUUCUGUAUAAAUUAUUGUGAGUUAUUUGAGAUUACCGUCACUGGGAACCCUUUCACCUGGUUGAAUGGUAGAGCUGAUGAAGAAUAUAUUUUCAAAACUCUAGAUAGAAUCAUGAUUUAGGCUGUAUAGGACAUAUUUGGGAAUAUAAAAUGUAAUAUUUGGCUAUAACUGAGUCUGAUCAUGCCCCUUUAAUGCUCAAGGAGAAAUUCAGUAAUUCUCAAAACCUCUUAGGUUUUUUAAGUUCUGAAUAGAAAAAGAUGACUUAAAGGAGGGCCUAUUUGAUGAACAACCAAAUGCAACGAAUAUGGCUAUUUUAUAACAUAUACAAAUUGAACUAAAGUAGUAUCUCCACUGUAAGGAGGAAUUUUUCAUACAAAUGGAUAGAAUCCAGUGGUUCACUAAAAGGGGAUAAAAAUAUAAAUUUUUUCCAUUGUCUGGUGAAAGAAGAAGAAAUAAAUUACAAUUGAAGAGAAGUUUAAAGCAUGAUGGUACUUAGGCUGAAGAAGAUGAGCAGAUUGCUAAUGAAGCAAUGAAUUUUUUCCAAAACCGAUUCUCAGGAGAGCUCUUUACUUACGAACAUUGUUAUAACAUAUCCCAUCAUUAAUUAUUAAAAAAGGUAACAUUAUGCUCAUGUAACGCCCCAAAAAUGGGUCCCGAGAUGUCACACCGUGCUCAAGACUACGAGUAGCCUUAAGCUAACCUUGUUAGCCUUCUACCAAGUUUGAAUCUCAUAAUAAGGUAGUAUAGAUAUCAAAAUCAUACUGAAAGCGGAAACUAUCUGAAUUUAAUAUCCGAAAAUAAUGUCUGGAACCUUAAUACUGAAUAAUCUGAAUAAAAACUAGUAGUCUGACAAUCCUCUACUACUAAUAAAUAGAGAGCCAUUGGGAUACACCCCCAGCUGACUCGAACUGUCUAAAAAGAAUGCUGAAUCAUCUAAGCUGAAAAUCUGAAUAACUAAGUCCCCGAACUAUGAUGACUCACCAACUAUCAGACUGUAGAUACUCGAAAUUACUCAUGCUGUUGGAACUGAGCACCUGAACCUACAUUAUGAGACAAUGUAACACAGACGUAUAUGUGGAUUAGUACUUUUAGGAUGUACUGAGUAUAUGGUUGCAAGCAUAAUUGAUAAUGCCUAGUGGUAAAAAAAUGACACCUUAGUUUAAUGGAUGGGAAUGUGUAAAUGGUUUUAAUUGGGCUUAAUGGGGUUGUGUAGCUCAAGCUGAAGGUCUUAGUCUCAGGGAAGAUGAAUACUGAAAAUCACAUUUACCGAUGUGGGGGUCUUUAUGAUCUUGUGCAUAGUUCACACUUGAUAUGUUUAUAUCUUAGAUUGGUAUGGGGUCAUGGAUUCCCUGACCUUCUUUGGAUUUCCUGGUUCUUGCGGUUACACGCAUUGGGGCCCUUCCAAUGGGAGGAGCCGGACCUGUUAGCCUGUGGGUGCCUUUAGGUUGGUUGGAGAUACACACUCCAGGAUAAUGUGUUAAAUCUCAUGUUAAGUCCUAUUUCCUAUCUCAACAUUUUAUAUAUCUGUAUAUAUGCAUGUAUGUGAACAUGUACAUUGAGUAUGGACUUGAUUUUUAAAUAACAUUACUUUAUUCCUAUCUCGAGUUACAUGCUAGCGAUCUCCUUGCUAACCAUCCUAGGACGCUACAUUGUUUUAUAAUGUAGGGUCCGAGGAUACCUCUUUUGCCCAUGUGUAGCUUUUGGUGACCGGGUUCGUCAGUUGGUUCGCGGUGAAGUGGUAAACUUCCAUCCUCCAAAAAACUUAGCCAUUCCAUCGAUUUAUUUCCAUAUUAUAGAAUUAAAGAGUUCACAUUAGCAUUAUCAUUAUAAUUGUCACCAUCAUGGUUGGGGGCAUGUCCCGAUCUAGUUUUAUAUUCAGAUUGUUUUAGAGGCUUUUGUGAAAACCUAUGGAUUGGGAUAUUUGUUUGGAAUCGUAGAAUCUUCGUCUUGGUGUAUUUAUCUUUUAUAUGUUCGUUUGGAUUGCUUUCACUAUUAUACUAUAUUGUGUUCUGAUUGGCUAGGCUUAGUGGGUGGCUUUCUGUCCUCGAUGGACUUGAGAUACCCGUCACAACUAGGCCCUGAUUCAGGUCGUGAUAGUAAGGGUUGUUAAAAUUCAAUUGAUUUUUCAUAGAGUUCAAAUGCUUUACAGACAUCACAAAUUCUUUUUAAUUGCCUUGAUAGAACCUUUCUAAGACAUAAGGAAAUUCAAAGAUACAAAAGAAGGUUGGGGAUGCAGUAUGUGAAUUAUAAUCAAAAUGGUCAGAUAUAGUUUUUUGUGCAAGAGCAUAUUCAAGUGGGAGUGAUUGUCAAUUUUGAGCAACAACUUUCAUUACACCUCACAGUGGAAUAUGAUAAGUAGACGAUGACUACAGUGGUAUAUGCCAAAUAUUAUACUUUAGAGAGUCUAGUCUAUGCGAUGAUUUGUAUGCCAUUGGGUACAAUCUUUCCUUUCCUUGGUUAUAGGGGCAGAGUUGAAUGUCAUUUUAUAUGAUGAAGAAAAAUUGGUGGGCUACCCGUAUAUCCUUAUGCAUUUGAGGACUUUAGCUUAUGUAUAAAUUGUGAGUUUUUUGAGAUUAGUGUCACCGGGAACCCUUUCACCUGGAUGAAUGGUAGAGCUGAUGAAGAAUAUAUUUUCAAAACGCUCGACAGAAUCAUGAAUUAGGCUGUAUAGGACAUAUUUGGGAAUAUAAAAUGUAAUAUUUGACUAUAACUGAGUCUGAUCAUGCCCCUUUAAUGCUCAAGGAGAAAUUCAGUAAUUCUCAAAACCUCUUAGGUUUUUAAAGUUCUGAAUAGAAAAAGAUGAUUUUAAAAAGUGGUUAGGCAUAUUCGGAGGGCAGAUGAAUAUGGGGAUUGCUUCAAAAGAUUGAAAUACAAGCAGAAGAGAGCUAAAUAUGCACUGUCUAAGUGGAGUAGAGACAUCUUUGGGGAUCUAUUUAAACAACUAAGCAUCAGGGAAGAGAUUGUGAAGUUAAAGGAGGGCCUAUUUGAUGACAACCAAGUGCAACGAAUAUGGCUAUUUUAUAGCAUAUACAAGUUGAACAAAAGUAAUAUCUCCACUGUAAGGAGGAAUUUUUCAUACAAAAGGCUAGUAUCCAGUGGUUCACUAAAAGGGGAUAAAAAUAUAAAUUUUUUCCAUUGUCUGGUGAAAGAAGAAGAAAGAAAUUACAAUUGAAGAGAAGUUUAAAGCAUGAUGGUACUUGGGUUGAAGGAGAUGAGCAGAUUGCUAAUGAAGCAAUGAACUUUUUCCAAAACCGAUUCUCAGGAGAGCUCUUUACUGACGAACAUUGUUAUAACAUAUCCCAUCAUUAAUUAUUAAAAAAGAUAACAUUAUGCUCAUGUAACGCCCUAAAAAUGAGUCCCGAGACAUCACACGGUGCUCAAGACUAUGAGUAGCCUUAAACUAACCUUGUCUACCUUCUAUUAAGUUUGAAUCUCAUAAUAAGUAAUAUAGAUAUCAAAAUCAUACUGAAAGCAGAAACUAUCUGAAUGUAAUAUCCGAAAAUAAUGUCUGGAACCUUAAUACUGAAUAAUCUGAAUUAAAACUAUCAAGACUACGAGUAGCCUUAAGCUAACCUUGUCUGCCUUCUACUAAGUUUGAAUCUCAUAAUAAGGUAAUAUAGAUAUCAAAAUCAUACUGAAAACAGAAACUAUUUGAAUGUAAUAUCCGAAAAUAAUGUCUGAAACCUUAAUACUGAAUAAUCUGAAUUAAAACUAGUAGUCUGAUAAUCCUCUACUACUAAUAAUAAAUCGAGGGGCAGAGUAGAAUAACUUUAACAUACAAAUUUGAUGCCUCAAGUUACACAGUUAGAUUCGCUGAACAGAUUCGUAAUUUCUCCUCCAAAGGCUAGAUAGACGGAAAGAAUGAUCCUCAUUUAGAUGACUAUUAGAGAUAUUGUCUUGUUGCUGGAAAAAAGGCCCUCAAUGAUGGAAAACAAAAUUUGGGUCAGGUUAUGGGUUGGUCCAAAUUGGUGGGUCGGGUUAUGGGUUGGUCCAAAUUGGUGGGUCGGGUUAUGGGUUGUAACGGAGGGUAUAUUUGGACCUUUUUGCAAGGUUAAGGGGUAUAUUUGCUCUUAAACUUUAAGAGCGAGAGCAUAUUUGGGCCAAACUUGUAACAGAGGGUAUAUUUGGACCUUUUCGCAAAGUUUAGGAGUAUAUUUGCUCCUAAACUUUAACAGCAAGGGCAUAUUUAGACCAAACUUGUAACGGAGGGUAUAUUUGGACCUUUUUGCAAAGUUAAGAGGUAUAUUUGACCCUUUACCCUUUGUAAAAUAAUGCAUGCCAAAUGUAAAUGACUCACAUAAGCUGGAAUAUCUGAAAUACUGAAAUCUAUAAUCAUGAAUAACAAAUAAUUAGUGAGUCAUAACAUUUAGUUCUAAAAGUCGUACUAGUAUUAUGUCUGUAAAUCAUGCUGCCUAAGUGUAGAAAGGACUCACUUCUGUAUCUGAAAUCUGAAAGCUGAAAUCUAUAGCUAAUAUCUUUUGGUAAAGCAUAAUCUGAAUAAAGUUGUGAGCCUUUACACGUAGUUUUCUAAAAGUUUUUUUAUUACUAGUAGGAAGAAUACUUUAUCUAAAGGGAGGUUCUUCUAACCGACAUAAACCAUGUGAGCUAACAUGGAGUCCAACGUCUUGCUCCCCUAUGGGGAAAACCUCACGAUAGGGAGAGGUGUCAACUCUUGCCAAGGAGUAUAACCUAAUCUAAGUGAUCAUAUAUGUGUCUGUCAUCCAUAUAGAAAUGGGAAUAAUCUGAAUCUGUACCUACGUUGGCUACGUAGUUCUGUGGAAAAUAGGGCACGCUAAUCCCACACUUCUAGCUCAGUGCUAAAUACUACUCCCUUUUAAUCUGUAUGCACAUUCUGUUGGAAAUCCACUUUAAAAGCUAGCAUAAGGGUUAUUACAGAACCAAUUAUGCAUUUAUCUGAUUCAACCUGUGAGUAAAACUAUUCUGAUUUUUGAAAUUUGUAAUAAAUCUGUAAAGUGGAUUCCAAAUCUUAUCUGAGGAUCAAAAGAUCAAGGCUUUUUGAAAAUCUGAAAAUAAACUGAUCAUCUAAUGCUUAAAGCGUGAUCUUUCUUGAAAUAAUAAUAUUCAAUCUAGGGAUGAUAACCUAUGCAUCAAUCUCAUGUCAAAACAUCAUAAUAAUCAUGCUUGGUAAUGAAAACAAUGAUAGUUCAUCUCAAAAUCUGGAAAUUACUGCAAUAGGCAUGAAAAUAUGAAAAUAGUCAUGCAAUUCAACUUCUAAAAAACUUGAAAUCUCUUAAUCUUGCAAUUAGCAAUCCUAAUUCAAAAAACUCAUGUAUAAUCAUUCAAAAUCAUAUAAAUUUAAAAUAAAAGCUUGGUUUUGGGAACAAGGAUAAAAGAGGAUCCUUGUUUAUAAACCCUACAUACCUUAAUUGAUGAAAUUUCUAAGAAAGCUUGAACUUGAAUCUCUAUUUGAGCCUUUGAAGAUGAACUCUUGGUUCUCUUGAUUUGAGAAUCCUCAAUUUUGAGUUUUCUUGGAGAAACAAUGGAGGAAAUUGAUUUCUUGGAGAGUAAGGUUUUGAACUUUAGGGUUUUCCUUUGAGAGAGAAUGGAUGAAAAUAAACAUAAAGUGCUUAGAAUAGACUUAAUUCCUUGUUUUGGACGAAUUGGGGCUUGGGAUUUGACCAAAGUACCCCUCUUAAAAUUUAAUCGGAACUGGAAAAAAGAUAAAUUUUCCGAAUUUGCAUGCCACUGCAACGCUCCACUAUCGCGGUGGAUCAUUGGAAUUUGACAACUGAAAACUGGACAUUCUACGCGACGCGGAGCUAUCGCGGUGCACUACUGAAAUGCCAUUUUGGCCAUCACCGUGACGUGCCACUAUCGCAGUGAGCCACUGGAAAUUGACAAUUGGGAAAUAAGGCUUCACCACGACACGGGCUUAUCGCAGAGGUCCACUUAAACCAAACAAUUGCCAUUUUGCAAGUAACCGCGGCGUGAUGCUUCUCCAGUUGGGAUACUACUUUACUAAAAAUGCCAUAACUUCUCAACCGAGUAUCGGAUUUGGGAGAAAUUGGUAUUGAUGGAAAGCUUAUUCAAUUAUAUACACAAUGGUUUCACAUGUAACAAAAAUUAUUCAUUUUUAAAGCUAGCCUUUGACAUUCUAGGUGUUAAAUUGAGAUGGAAAAGUACGGGGUAUUACAGCCCAACGGAUUACCUACAAAUGUAAAGAUCAGAAGGACAAUAUUUGAGUUAAAUGGUGAUAGUGCAUGUGGUCUUGAUGGUUUCAUUGGUUGAUUCUAUCAGAAUUGUUGGGAUAUUGGUGGGGGAGAUAUUAGUGACAUUGUUCAUGCUUUCAUAAAAGGCUCCACUUUACCUAAAUCAAUUUCUCACACUAAUUUGGCGUUACUGCCUUAGAAAGAUGUCAUUCAUAUAUUUUCAAACCUAAGACCAAUUAGCUUUAAGUAAAUUUUGGAAUAAAGUAAUCUCCAGUCUUUCGUAUGAUAGGAUGGACCUUUUCUUCUAGGCUGAUUUCACAUUUCGCAGAACCAAUCAAACUUUGUGAAUGGAAGGAGCAUCACUAAAAAUAUUUUAUUAGCUCAAGAGAUUAUUUCUAAUAUUAGAAAAAAAGGAAACCAACAAAUAUAGUCAUUAGGCUUGACAUGGUAAAGACUUAUGACAAAGUUGAAUGGAAAUUUUUGAUUAAAGUCUUGGAAAAAAUAGGUUUAAUAAAAUAAUUAUGGAUAAGAUUUGGAGAAUUGUGGCUGAUAAUUGGUAUUCUAUUCUAAUUGUUGGACAAGCUCGUAAUUUUUUCCAUUCCACCGAAGGUGUCAAAUAAGGGGAUCCUUUAUCCCCUUUAUUAUUUAUUUUGUCUGUUGACGUGUUAUCUAAAACCACGAAUCAACUAUUUUAUAGUAGAGAAUUCAAGGGUAUUGGAAUACAUAAAUGGAGUGAAAGUUUAAAUCACAUGACCUAUGUUGAUGACAUGAGAAAGUCAUUACAAUUAAAUUUGAAGGUUUUGGAUCAAUAUUAAAUGUAGUCAAGUCAGAAAAUCAACUAAGAAAAACAUUUUUUCUUUAUGUAUAGGUAGGCUGCAACUAAUGUUGUCCAAGAAGUGGAGGUUGUAACUAGUUUUAUAGGGGUAAAUUCCCAAUGAUGUAUUUGGGGUUUCCUAUUGGUCAUGCAAGAAGCAAGACUUUGUUGAACUUAUCAAGAAGAUGCAGAAUAACUGAAUGUAUGGAAAGGUAAGUUACUAUCAUUUGGUGGAAAAUCUGUCCUAAUAAACCAUGUUUCUUCGAGAGUAUCCCUAUCGAGUUAUUGUCUGCUAUCAUUUAUCCUAAAUGUGUAUUGAAGAUUCCAUAGAAUCUUUUCUAAGUUUUUAUGGAAUUUUAUGAAAGAAGAAAAGGCAAAGAACCGAGUGUCAUAGCAGAAUAUCUAUCUUCCCUAAAUUAAAGGUGGUUUAGGUUUUAGAUAUCUUUAUGAUGUGUCAGAGGCUUUAUUUGCUAAAUUGUGGAGGAUUUUUAGGACUAAGUCCUUAUGGGCCAAUUUUAUAAGGAACAAAUAUUGGAAAAGGCUUCUCAAAUAUGGAAACAUAUGCUAUAUAAUGACCCUUAGGUUAUUUUCUGUAUUUCCAUACUAUUGCAAUGUCUAGAGGUUUUCCAUAGUUUCCUCAAGUUAUUUAUGACUUGCUGGAGAUGACAAUUUAGUUACUGGAGAGUUCGUUAAGUUUUUAGAGUCAAUUCCCUAUUUUGAAGUUCUCACUGUUGAGAAUUGGUUAUCGGGCUUAAACUUUAGGUUAACAUCGUCAUAUACCAAUUCUAAUAGUUUUGCUAGAUCUAAAAUGUUGAUUUUAGGCUUGGGGGACCUUUGGUUUGGGUCCUAAGGAUUUCAAACUCGUGUUAGGCUAUUGGGUGGAUUUUGGUUAAAAUAGUCAUUGAGUGUGCGAUCCACAUUUUAUUGAAAUGAACUCAGCUGGAAAUUUUGAUGGCACAGUUGAGAGAAUAUUGAUUUUGGUAGGGUAGCAUAGCUCAUUUGCAUUCACAUAAUUCUGAAUGAAUCCUGAAGGUCCACUCAGAAACUUGACAAAUACCAAGUGUAGUUGGUGCAGCAUCAGCUGGUGCAGCGCAAAAAUAGCCUUCACAUUCAUGAUGGCCAUGGAAAAUUGGCUACCACAAUCAUGAUGACCUUGGCCGCAUCUGCGAAGGCCAAGUUUACUAGCCAUCGCAUUUGCGAGCUUGCCUUCGCAUUCACAAAGAGUAUUCUCUGGGUCGAACUAGGCAUUCUUUCUUGAGAUCGAGGUGGACCGGCCGUGUUCGUGAAGGGUAAGUUGGAUUGAGCCCUGCAUUUGCAGAGGGGUCCUCACCUUCACGAUGAAGGGACCCCAAGCAGUAUAUAUGCUGCCAAACCCAAUUUUUCUCCCAUUUUCAAGUCUCAACUUCCAUUAAUAUCCCUAGAGAGCUAAGAGAGUGAGAGGAUCGAUACAUGGGUGUUUAGGGUGAGUUAGAGAGUUUGGGGGAUGUUUUUCCAUCAAGAAUUAUUGUAAAUUUUCUUAUAUUUCUUAUUUAAGUCUCUACUUUAAUCUCGAAAUCCCUAACACUUUGUGGGCUGAUUUGAGGGAGCAAUUUUGCUCGUAUUCAUCAUUUUUUUAGGAUAAAUGAUCCUUGAGCCUAGAAGAGCGUUUUGGCGGUUUCAAAGUUGUGAUCUUGCAACUAGCCCCACAUGGGAUUUUUAGCUCAAUUUCGGAACCAAAGAAUUUAUAUGCAAUAUGGGUAUUUUUAUUCUUGUAUUAAUGUGUAUAUCAUUAUUUUGAUAGUGUAGCAUCGUACAAAGGCUUCCUGGAAGGUAAAAUCUCUAAUUUAGUGGAUUUUCUUGGGCAUUCUUCGAUGUACAGGUAGGUUAGGCUUACUUUUCUCAUAUAUUGAGCUAUAUUAUUGUACUGGUGUGGUCUUAUGCUAGAUUUGGGUUGGAAAUUAUGACUUGAUUGUAUGUUUAGCGAAAUUUGGAAUAUUUAGCCGAUUAGUGAAUCGUGUUUAGGUAGAAUUGACCUGUUCAUCCUUUCCUUGGAUUAAACUAAGACAUUAGGACAUAUUGGACUUAUUUUACUCCUUGUAGUAGGUCUUGGAAGCCUUAGUCUAGUUUUUGGUAGAAAUUGUCUUAGUAUGAAUUUUUGGGUUUUAGUAGCGGGCUCCGUCGACCCUCUUUAAGGUCAAACAUCUGAAGUAGCUCCCGAUAGAUCUAGGAGGCCUUCUCUCAUUAUUAUAUAAAUAUUCUUGGACCCUAAGAUGAUUUAGUCAAUUUUCAAUUAUCGACUAGAUUUAGUAACCUGUAUUUACUUUAAAGACUGGUUCGAGCCCAACACUUACUAUUCAUUUAUGAUGCUUAAAGACCAAUUUGAGUUUGACAUAUAUUAAUCACUUAUUAUAUAAAAGUUUGGUUUGAGUUUGACAAUUAUGGUUCACUUAUGAUGACUAGGGAUCCGGUUCGAGUCCAAUGUUUGUUGUAUGAAAGGAUUAACAGAUAUGGUUUUGGUGGCCAAUUACUUUAUAAUUACUAUUGUUUUUAUUUUUCCCUUAAUUACGUCCAUUGAGCUUAUGGAGACUCGUUUGGAUUAUCCUUCUCUUGUUUGCGCCUUCUAGGCUUAUGGGGGUCAAGUUAGGCUAUAGUUGACUUGUAUUCUUUUGAUAUUAUCUAUUGUAUUAUUUAUUAUCUAUCAGCUGGAGUGUUGUUUCAGGUUUUCCCUUUUUAUCCCUGACUUUAUUUUACAUUCACGCAUUUUAUUAUGCUUUUAUUAUGAUUUAGCUUAGUUGACUGAUAUGCCUACUGGGUACCCAUUGGUUUUGUACUCCUACUAUGCUUCUGCAUCUUUUUCUAAUACAGAUCCAAGUACUAGCUAUCACCACUGACAUUCUAUCCAGCACAAUCUAGAGUUCGAUGAUAGGGUGAGCUUUUGGAGUCGGAGUUGAUUCUCUCUCCUUAUGUUAGUUUUGGAAAAUCUUUUUGACACUAUUUGUAUAUUGACAUUAUUCAUUCUCUUAUUCUUUUGAUUAGUGACUCUUACCGACCUUACUAGGUCGUGAGAUACUUUUUUGCUCUUUCUCUCUCUUAUUUAUAUAUAUGCCAUCCUUUUAAUAUUAUAUCGCCUACAAUCUAUUUGUAUGCUUAAUUCUCAAUAGUCAUCAUACCUUCCACCAAAUAGCCUAUUAUUUGUCAUUCUGAGUUGUGAUUUGGCUUACCUACUGGUUGGUUAAUGUAAUACCCCAAACUUUUUCAAGCUUAAAUUCAUUCAUAGAAUGUUAUGGGAUAUCUUCCAAAAUGAUUAAUAUUUGUUUCGCAUAGAAUUUUCUAGAUUUCAACUUUUCAUCAUGUGGGAAAUUAAAUAAGCUUUCCAUCGAUAUCAAAUUUGCCCAAAUCCGACACUCGGUGAAGAAGUUAGAGCACUUUUAAGUUGACAGCGUGCCAACUAGGCAGUCACCGCGUCGCGGUGAAGGACAAUUUCAUAAUCUUCACUUACCAGUGGACCACCGCGAUGUUGGCACGUCGCGGCGAGGUCCAAAUUCCCAUUUGUUAAUUUCCAGUGGACCUCUGUGAUAUUGGUGCGUCGCGGAGAGGUCCAUUUUUCCAAUUGUAGAAUUCCGUAGCCUAACGCGAUAGGGGCGUAUCGCACCGAAGGCCAAAAUGGCAUUUCUAUAGGGCACCGCAAUGGUGGCGCAUCGCGUUGAAGUUUCAGGUCCCAAUUGUCAAAACCUAGUGGGACAGCGCAAUAGCUCCGCAUCGCGGUGGACCCCAAUUUCCCAUUCGUCAGUUUUCAGUGAGCCAGCGCGAUAGUGGCACAUCGCGGUGGCCUAUUAAAUCGGGACCCAGUUACGUUUUUUUUUUCAGUUUCGUUUAGAAGUGAAAAAGGGCAUUUUGGACUUUUUCCCAGCACCCAAUUCCAUCUAAACACAAGAUUUAGGGCUAUUACAAACAUCUUAUGGUAUAUUUCUCAAGAUUUCUCUCAACUAAAAACCCUAAGCUUCAACAAUCAACCUCAAGAAUCUCAAGAUUCCACCAUCCUUUUUCCAAAUUAAUUCAAGAUUCCCAACACAAGAAUUCCAAGAACCAUAAUUCAAGAGUACAAAUAGAGUCUCAAAAGCAAGGUUGUUCAUCUAGUUCAACAUCCAAGGUAUGUGGGGUUUGAACAAGGACAAGUCUUUCGUUCUUGUGCCCAAAAAACUUGAAUUUUAUUAAAGAUUACAUGAUUUACAAGUUGGGGUUUAUACCCAAAGCAUCUUGUUUUAAGUUUAUGAAGAUAUAAGUGAUUUAAGCCUUGAAUUGCAUAUUUAUCCCACCUAUUUAUGCUUUGAAUUGAGGAUUUAUAUCAUGAAUUGCACAUUCCCAUUGUGAAUUGAUAUUUUCAAGUGUUUCCAAGAUAAUUGUUGAGAAUUAAGCUUCAUUAUGAAAUUGUGAUCAUUUAAGUACAUAUGCUUUAAACCCAAGUAAGAAUUUUGAUAUUUCAUGAAGAGUAUAUUGUUAGCAUGCUUUAACAAGCAAGCAUUCAGAUUUUAAAGAAAGAUUGAUCUUCCGAACCUAAGCUAAGAUAGGAAUCCACAUUAUUUAUGAUUUAAAGCAAAGAGAACUAUAAUUGGUUUUCAUUAUAAACCCUUGUGCUGUUUUAAGGUGAAUUUCCUAAAAGUUCUGAGCAAUAAGUAUGGGAGUAGUAUUUAGCACUGAGUUGGGUAUGAUUCCAAGGUCUCAUUCCCCAAAACUACGAGCCACGUUGGUUCUAAACGCCCAUAGUAGGCUAAGAUAGUGAUCACUAAAGUUAAGGUUCUAUUCCGAUGGCAAGGGUAGAACAGCUCUCUCCAAUGUGGGCAAGACGUUAGACUCCAUGUCAGCUCACAUGGUUUAUGUCGGUUAGAAGAAACUCCCUGAGUCCCAAAGUCCCUAAGUCCCAAAGUUCCAAGAUUUCCAAAGCUCCCAAAGCUUAUGAGUUUCAAAAGAAAAGAAUGAUAGAAAAACUUUUAUAAGACUAAGUGUUAUGACUCACUAGAUUCACAAGUAUGAUUUGUUAUACAUGAUUUUAUAUUUUGAUAUUUUAGAUAAUCAAGCUUAUGUGAGUCAUAUACAUCCACAUGCAUUUACUUUCUAAUUAUGAUGAUGUUUACUUAUGCAUUACACCCUAUAUACUCAGUACAUCCUUAAAGUGCUGAUCCACAUAUAUGUCUAUGAGCUACAUUGUCUUAUAAUGUAGGUUCAGGUGCUCAGUAUCAUCAACGUGAGUAGUUCAAGCAUCUCUAUCUACGCUCCCACAGUUGGUGAGUCCUCAUGAUUUGAGGGCCUACUUUUUCAGAUUUCCAGCUUUCAUAGUAAUUGAGUUAUCAUUUUAAGUUUAGACCGACUCAGUUGGGGGUCUGUCCCAAUGGCUCUCUAGUUCUUUAGUAGUAAAGGCUCGUCGGACUACGAGUUUAAUUACAGACUUUUAGUAUUUGUUAUUCAGACAGUACGUACGUUUAUUCAGUUCAGUUUUUGGUAUAAUAUAAUAUUAUUUCUUGAUUAGAUUAUCUUAAAGUAAGGUUCAGAUCUAGUAGCAGGCUCAAAGGGUUAGCUUGGGACUAUUCAUAGCCUUGAGCACCGUGGGACGUCUUGGGAUUAGAUUUUGGGGCGUUACAGUUAAAGAGGUGCCAUUAUGACCUGACAAACUAGGUCCUGACAUGCUAUCAGCUAGAGACAGUGUUGAUCAGGAGAUUUAGUGAAAACCUAGAUGUGGUCAUUCUAGCAUUUGGUUUGACAAUUGGACGCAAUUAGGAGAUCUUCCGUAUUACUUCCCUAUUAAUCACAACAUUGAUGAGAACUUUGAUGAUAUGAGUUAACUACUAAAUCAAGAAAGUUGGAAUGAAGAAUUAAUGAUGGAUAUUCUUAAUGAAGAUGUUUGUAAUCAGGCGAGACAAGUGAUUAGGGUAAUUCAUAAUAGGGAUGACUGGGAUAAGGCAUGGUGGAUGCUAAGCAGUAUAGGAAAGUUUUCUGUUAAAUAUACGUGGGAGUUACUUAGACAGAGAAGACCACCUCUAGAUUUGAUCACCUCUAGAGUUGACCAUGAUUUUUUGGGAAUCAGGAAUCCCUUUCAUAGUCUCUUUCCUUACUUGAAGUCUUUGGAAGAAAAGGAUUCCUAUUGGAGAGGUUUUAGUGAAAAUAAAAGUGGUUAAAGAUAUGGUUUGUUGUUAAUACAACAAUAGUGAGCAUGAAACUUUUGACCACUUGUUCAUGAAGUGUCUAGAUUCAAACUACUCAUGGAGUAUAUUUGCAGGACCUGUAGGAGUACCUAGUCCUUUUGUGAUGUGGUGGAGUGCAGACACUAGUGCAAAACUGAAGCCUUUGUACUAGGUUGUUCCCAUUUUUAUUGUCUGACAGGUAUGAAAAAGAAGGAAUAGGAUUAGAAAUGGAGGAAGAAUGUAAACGACUAGCUUUUUGAUGAAAUAUGUGAAUUGUGUGUUUUUGUGUAAUUUGAUUGUUUCACCCCUCCCCAUAACUGUAUUAUGGUAUUUUUGGGAUGUAGGGGGUGAUUGGCAUGGUUCUCGAUGCAUUUUGGUACCAUUUAUGUAUAUUGUGGUUUUUGAUGACUUCCAAAGCUUUAUUUUAAACUUAUGUGGAUAUCUUUUGAUCUGUACGAUGGAUGGCUGAACGAACUACGCCAACAACUCCAGAAUAUUAAUUUUAGGCUAGGUAGACCUUUGGUUUGGGUCCUAGUGCAUUCAAGUUCAUUUCGACCUAUUGGUCAGAAAGUUGAAAAAUUGAAAAUAUGGGUGUGGGACCCACGUUUGGUCAAAACAACCUCAGAUAAAAAAUCUAACUUUUCCAGUAGAUUCAAAACGUCGAUUAUAGGGUGAUAACAUAUUUGAUGUGAUUUUACGGCUUUUCAAUCUCAUUUUGACCCUCGAUUUGGAAAAUUAUAAUUUCGGAUUUCGGUUGUCAACUAUGUGAAAAUGAUAUUUUUUUGAAAAUCUGAAAUCACCAUUGAAUUUGGAGAGUCAAAUUUAGUGUGGUUACAUAGUUUGUUUAUUUAUAUUAGACUCCGAACGAAUUCUGAGCACCCCAUCGAAGUUUGUCCGGACUUAUAAAAAAAUUGGUGUAGAUUUUUCUGCAUUAUUAAUAGCAGUUUUCAAGCCCAUUUUGUUCAUUUUUCAUCUGGCCUCUUGAGAGUUAAACCCUAAAAAUAGUGUGGGAGCUUAAAAGUGAAGCUUGUGGAAGCUUGGGAAGCAAGAUUAACAUCUAUUUCUUGAUUCUAUUACGGAUUUAAGGUAAGAAUUCAACAUAUUCUUAGUCAUUUCUUGAUUAAUUUCUCAACACCUCAAAAAUCUUAGGGCUUGAUUUUAAACCUCAAUUUCACUCCUUUUUCACUUGAAUAAUAUUUUAAUCUUAUAAUUAUGAGUGUUUCAUCAAUUUAACAUUCAAAACAAUUCCAAUUCUUAGUUUUCACCCGAAUUUCAAAGAUUUUAUCUAGUACAACUUAAAAAUAGUUUUUCUUUGAUUUUAACCUUAUUUUUGACUCGAUUUGACUUGAAUUUUCAUAUGUAGGAUCCUACAAAUAUGGGAAACACGUUUUUGAAGUAAAGUUAUGAUUUUGCUCUUCUUUUUCAAAAAUCCAUUUCGGGGAGUUUGUUUUGACCCCGAACCAAAAAAAUUACUCAAUAUGGGUGUCGUUGAUUUUGUUUUGAUGCGUAGAUUCCAUAUUUGAUGUUUUUAGUGAAGCUCGGUACCAUUUGUGAGGAGUAAAACUUUGGGAGCAAAGUCUUGAUUCCGAUAUUUUAGUUUUUGAGGUAGGUUAUGACUUAACUCUUUCAGACUGGGCUAGUAGUAAAUGAUGGUAGAAAAUACAUGUUGAGGCUGAGAACUAAUCAUGAAAAAUGGGUAUCUAUGUGUGUUUCCAUGUGGGGGCCUAUAUGUAAUGUAAUUGUUGAAAUUAAGAUAUUAUGUGAUAGUGUGAUCGUGUGCGAUCCUAUGUGAUGUAGAUAGCCUUAAAUAUAUAUGAAUAAUUGUAUUGUGUUGUUGAAAUGUCUAAUGUGAUGUCAUUGGUGUAUUGAGAUAUAUUCAUACUUGUUAUAUGAGACGUGUAAAUUCAUGGAUGAAACAAAAAUAAUAAGUGAAUUAUUGGCUCAUGUGGUUGUGGAAAUGUAUAAUUAUGGUUGGUUGUGGAAAUAUAUUAUUGUGGCUGGUUAUGAAAAUACUCAUUGUGAUUGGUUGUGGUCAUUACAUCUUCAUAUCAUACUCAUUCAUGAAACAUUGGUACCACCAUGGCAACAUCUGAAAAACACUGACAAUACCUUUAAUAAAACCCUCCCCAAGGGAAGUGCUGGGAGGAGAUAUUGCAACACCUUAUAAAACUCUUUCCGAGAGACAUGUCAAAAAGUUCAUAUGAGAUAUGUGGAUUGUAUACGGAUUGACGAACUCCCCAUGGGUCCUAUCCUACAUCGAGAAGCUUUAGUUCCGUAGGUGUAUACAGGGAUUGUGCGACGAUCCCGGAGGUUGUGCAACGACCUCGUGCAUCAUCAUCAUUAUCAUAUACAUUGUACUUACUUUAUUAUGUUUAUGUUGUUUUGUAUUGCCAUAUUGACUUGUCAUCUAUGUAUUUCUCUUACCUUCCUUUACUUAUAUUUGAUGAUCUUGUAUCCACAUGUUCUCCUUUGUUCUACUUAUAUGUGGCAUAAUGCAUUCUUGUGUUCUAUCUUGGUGUGUUAUUGUAAUAUAGGUGAUAUAUUAGAACUGUUAGUGUAACCGGUGUAAGCUAUCGUUGUGAGAUAUUUUCUGAUUACAGAUGACAUACCCUUAGUGUGUAUUUUGUAUGCUUCAUUUUUUCUACUUUGCUUGGUUGGUCUAUGAUACCUACUUAGUAUAAGUGGACCGUACUCACUCCUACUUCAUCCUUUUGGUGCACCUUUAGGUUCGAGUGCGCCUUAGACUAGUUAAUUUUUGGGCACCUUCAGAUUACUCAAGGUAGCGGUUGGACAUUCAUACGUCCGUAGUUCACCUCUAUCUUUCUAUAUUAGUUAUGUCUUUAUUAGUAUUUGGAGACAGAUAUUAUUCCUUUGUGGUUAUUUUUCUGAUGUAUUUGACUCCUGGAUAGUAUUAGUAGUUCUUACACCAUUGACAACAGGUUUUGGGAGUUAUGGCUGCAUGUGUUGAUUUUAUUUUUUCCACUUGUAUUAUAUCUAUAUGGUUCAGCUUUAUUCUAGAAGCCUUAUCUUGGGGGGCAUUUCUAUUUUUUUUUGUGUGUAUCAGUUUGGGUGAGACUUACUUGUCAAGGUUCGCCGCGACAAGUGCCAUCAUGACCCUUAUUUUUGGGUCGUGACAAGGAAUGUUAAAACAUGACAUGGUUAUGGAGAUUAACAGGAAUCUGUAUAUGUUUCCAAAAUUAGAUUCCCUUGGCUUAAGGAAAUCCCUGAUUCAUGGCCAAUGAUAGUUAAAAUGUUUGAAGAGUACACCCUCAUUGUUUCUUGCAAAAUUGUCUGACGGAAACAUCCGUAAAGGGAUUACAAAUGUAAUUUAGAUGGGGCAUAAAUAGAAUUCUGGGCCUUAUGCUAGUGGCUUUUGCAUAAAAAAUAAAGAUGAAGACUUUAUUUAUGCUGCAUCAAACACAGUUAAAGAGGGGUCUGGACUAGAAGCUGAGGUGAAAGCUAUGAGAUUAGCCCGGGAGUUUUGUAUAGGCAAAAAUCUGUUACCUCUGACCAUGGAAAUAUAUUCCCUCAUAAUCAAUAAGAUUCUUGAUGGUAUAUGAGAGAUGCCCUGGACAAUUACCAUAGAGAUAAUAAGGAUAAAACAAUUGAUGGAGAAUAAUUUGGAGGAUGUGGAGCAUACAUUUCGAGAAGGCAAUAAAUUGACCGAUUUUUUCACUAACAUUAUUUUUAGUUUUGCAGGUACAAAUAACAUACAAUUUAGCUCAAUACAGGAGGUUCUGGAAUAAGAAAGGAAAAUCAUAAAUUUAGAGAAAAACAAAACUACAUAUUUAAGGAUAAGGAAACGUCACAACAGGUGUUUCAAUCAACCACAGGGACAAACACAAUCACACAAGCAGAUUGAUUUAAACAUACAAAUAACCAGCUGAAGUGGGCUAUAAUAAAAAUGAACUGAGAAAGUAGGAAGAAAGGACUUGCCCUUUAGCUCUGAGCCUUUUGCAGAGGUAUUAGCUUCAAGGAGAUCAUUUUGCAAAGGGUAAGGAAAUGAAAAAAAAAUCAAUCAAAAAAGCAUUUCAUACCAAAUUAUGGGAAUUGGAAUUUGACUUUACCUCAUCGUGAAGAGCUGGAAUACUGGUAAUGAGCUGAAGAAGUCUUCAACGAGUUGAAUUCAUGGCGCCUGUGAGAAUUUGUUGGGUGUUUAAGUUAACAUCAGUCAAUCACACUGAUGAUAUAAACCGUCUUCUACGAGAUGAUAAGAUCAAUGAGAUCUAUGGGUGCAGCAGUUCGCAAGUCACCGACAAUGGUUGGCCGAUCAACCAGGGAUUUAGUACUUUGGAGCUUUUACAGAUUUCCUAAUUUGGUUGUAAAUAUUAGCUUAGACUUGUUUUGUCUGUUUUUUGUUAUUUCGGGUAUGGGCUUUGGUCUCUUUUGGGACAUUGCCCAUUACCAUUUGAACCUUUGUUUUCUGAUUUUCUAAUAAAUGGCAUGGCCCGUAUUUACUUUAAACUACCCUCCUUCAUCAUAAAAAAUAUUUCACUUUAUUCAAGAAUUGUGGUUUGGUUAUAAAAU
Molecule: long non-coding RNA, 35683 nt
Filed under: Capsicum annuum
Lineage: Eukaryota; Viridiplantae; Streptophyta; Magnoliopsida; Solanales; Solanaceae
Description: long non-coding RNA (CANN_LNC019643)
Source: RNAcentral